ACUUAAAUUGAAGAGUUUGAUCAUGGCUCAGAUUGAACGCUGGCGGCAGGCCUAACACAUGCAAGUCGAGCGGUAGCACAGAGAGCUUGCUCUCGGGUGACGAGCGGCGGACGGGUGAGUAAUGUCUGGGAAACUGCCUGAUGGAGGGGGAUAACUACUGGAAACGGUAGCUAAUACCGCAUAAUGUCGCAAGACCAAAGUGGGGGACCUUCGGGCCUCAUGCCAUCAGAUGUGCCCAGAUGGGAUUAGCUAGUAGGUGGGGUAACGGCUCACCUAGGCGACGAUCCCUAGCUGGUCUGAGAGGAUGACCAGCCACACUGGAACUGAGACACGGUCCAGACUCCUACGGGAGGCAGCAGUGGGGAAUAUUGCACAAUGGGCGCAAGCCUGAUGCAGCCAUGCCGCGUGUGUGAAGAAGGCCUUCGGGUUGUAAAGCACUUUCAGCGGGGAGGAAGGCGGUGAGGUUAAUAACCUCAUCGAUUGACGUUACCCGCAGAAGAAGCACCGGCUAACUCCGUGCCAGCAGCCGCGGUAAUACGGA
This 541-nucleotide ribosomal RNA is filed under the name Klebsiella pneumoniae. RNAcentral describes it as "bacterial SSU rRNA". It matches the Rfam family "Bacterial small subunit ribosomal RNA", at positions 1 to 529 of the family's 1533-position model. Lineage: Bacteria; Pseudomonadati; Pseudomonadota; Gammaproteobacteria; Enterobacterales; Enterobacteriaceae. The record is from RNAcentral.